This 482-nucleotide ribosomal RNA is filed under the name uncultured bacterium. RNAcentral's name for it is "bacterial SSU rRNA". It matches the Rfam family "Bacterial small subunit ribosomal RNA", at positions 30 to 506 of the family's 1533-position model. The record is from RNAcentral.
UUGAACGCUGGCGGAAUGCUUUACACAUGCAAGUCGAGCGGCAGCGCGGGGGCAACUCUGGCGGCGAGCGACGAACGGGUGAGUAACAUAUCGGAACGUACCCAGACGUGGGGGACAACUAGUCGAAAGACUAGCUAAUACCGCAUACGUCCUGAGGGAGAAAGCGGGGGAUCGCAAGACCUCGCGCGUUUGGAGCGGCCGAUAUCUGAUUAGCUAGAUGGUGGGGUAAAGGCCCACCAUGGCGACGAUCAGUAGCUGGGCUGAGAGGAUGAUCAGCCACACUGGAACUGAGACACGGUCCAGACUCCUACGGGAAGCAGCAGUGGGGAAUUUUGGACAAUGGGGGAAACCCUGAUCCAGCCAUUCCGCGUGAGUGAAGAAGGCCUUCGGGUUGUAAAGCUCUUUCGGCAGGAACGAAACGGCGGAAUCUAAUACAUUCCACUAAUGACGGUACCUGAAGAAGAAGCACCGGCUAACUACGU